This is a long non-coding RNA of Melitaea cinxia (Glanville fritillary), 555 nucleotides long. RefSeq lists it as uncharacterized. NCBI's taxonomy places the organism in Eukaryota, Metazoa, Arthropoda, Insecta, Lepidoptera, Nymphalidae. The transcript is spliced from 2 exons. The record is from RefSeq and is a predicted model, not a curated record.
CGACGAUAGUGUGACAUCUCGAAUUAUACGAUUUUUUGUUUUAUAGAAAUUCUGAAUCGCGAUCUUGUGUUCUUUUAUCUCCAAAAAUAUGGUAUUUGUUACUCCAAAAACAAAAAUACUGUGAGAGAAAAAGACAAAAUGUUACUUUAUAGCACUGUCUCGUUUGACGAUCUAGUUUGCUUCGACACCGUGACAGUUCAGUUGCCACCUGCACUUUGAUGUGAGAUGUUCUUAGUUUUUAAACAAAAAACGUGAUAUUCGAGGAUACCGCGAUAUUGGUGACAAAGAUGGGGACUAGGCCUAAACGAAUAUUACAAUUAGCACAACGCAAUAUAGCCGACGAUUGGCUCGGCAGCAGUUUCCUGGUCUCUUCUAUCAGUUCGUUACAAACUGUGAAUGAUGAUGAAAUCAUGAAACAGCAAAAAGCAACAUGGAUGAAGAUUUUCUCAGUGGAAACCUAGUCGCUUCUAACAACUUGUAUUUACAAACUGUAAAUAAACCACAACAGUAUCGAUAUGUCAAAAUUGAUUGUUAAGAUAAGAAUUGUAAAAACUU